AGCAGCCGCGGUAAUUCCAGCUCCAAUAGCGUAUAUUAAAGUUGCUGCAGUUAAAAGCUCGUAGUUGAAUUUCGGGACCAUCAUGUCGGUCGUGCCUCGGUACGUACUGGCAUUGUUGGUUUCUACCUUCUGACGAACCAUGAUGUCAUUUAUUUGGUGUCGUGGGAAAUCAGGACUGUUACUUUGAAAAAUUAGAGUGUUUAAAGCAGGCUCACGCUUGAAUACAUUAGCAUGGAAUAAUGAAAUAGGACGUUUGAUUCUAUUUUGUUGGUUUUCUAGGAUCGACGUAAUGAUUAAUAGGGAUAGUUGGGGGCAUUAGUAUUCAAUUGUCAGAGGUGAAAUUCUUGGAUUUAUUGAAGACUAACUACUGCGAAAGCAUUUGCCAAGGAUGUUUUCAUUAAUCAAGAACGAAAGUUAGGGGAUCGAAGACGAUCAGAUACCGUCGUAGUCUUAACCAUAAACUAUGCCGACUAGGGAUCGGAUGAUGUUAAUUUUUAUGACUCAUUC
This 507-nucleotide unclassified non-coding RNA is filed under the name uncultured Glomus. RNAcentral describes it as "SSU rRNA". It matches the Rfam family "Eukaryotic small subunit ribosomal RNA", at positions 569 to 1081 of the family's 1831-position model. Lineage: Eukaryota; Fungi; Glomeromycota; Glomeromycetes; Glomerales; Glomeraceae. The record is from RNAcentral.